UGUUGCGUGUCAGUCGUCCGUGAAUAGCGCGGUGCUAGAAUACCUGCUUUGCAUAAGGUAUCGGACGCAGAUGUUGUGAAAUUUCGUAGUUUAAACAACGUGUAUUACAUACAUUUUCCAAAUCAGCCAGCCGUAUAUGGAUUAAGUUCAAAUACCCCUCACAUAUGGAUUGUAUUGCAUAUACGUAACGUGGUCCGUGCUGUAAGGUUUGCGGCUGUAUCUCUUCGUAUCAGUUGCAUCCAGCCAUUGGAGAUGUAAAGCUGUUGGCUGUGGUAUAAAUUUAAUUUACUAGAGUACUGGAUGAUAAAAGUUCAUUUAGAGGGGAUUUGGCUAAGUUAAAAAAAAAAAUAAAAUUAUUGUGCUAUGCUAAAAGUAUGGCCAAGCUAUGUCAUACCAUGGCCAUACCUUAGGUUAAAAGUUAUAUUUGAUUCAUUUUUACAGGUUGUGUUGCAUAGACACAUUGUGUUUCAUAAUGUAUGGUUCCAGUUGUAUCGAAUGCUAUUAGUCACAUUCGGACGCUUGAUAUGUAAUGUUGUUCGUUUUUGAUGAAAUUCACCCAGUAGAAAAUAUUGCAUUUUGGAGGCUCAACCAACUGGAUUUUGAUAACACUUACUCUGAAUAUGAAAUUGGGAAGGGAAGGGGAUAGUAAAAUUUCCAGAGUGGGGUCAUCCAUUGUUACAGACUAUAAUUUAUCAAGGUGUCAUGGAAAUAAAUACUGCCGUGUUCAGUGAGGUCUUAAAUGGGUGACAACUCAUAUAAUACAGGUAAACUUUUCCAAUUGAAAGAUUUCAAAAGAAAAGAUGUCGAAUUUGCUGUUUAAAUUCUGGUAUAAUGCGUUAAAGAAUGAGUCUCGCCUAAAUGAAGAAAAAAUAAGAAACAAAGAUGAGAAGAGCUGGAUCUUCAACAAAAGAUCUUAUGGCAAGCCUACAGAUUUGUUUCUCCAUCCACAAAUUGAAACUCUGUCAUCCAUUUAAAUCAAUGACACACUGAUGCAUGCUUGUUUCCUUGAGUACGGUGAGUCUGUGAAGAGACCAGUGAAUGCUGCUUUGUUCGAGGAAAGAGCAAGCACAAUAACUGGAAAAAAAACUACAGAGAGAUAGGAAAAGAGUACACAGUGAUUUACCUUGACAAGUUAUUCCAAAAAGAUCCACAGAUUUGAUCCGUUUUAGCUCAGCAAGCUGGGCUUCAACCACUUCUGCUUCAAUAUACAGAUGUAGCCAAAACGCUUCGGACAACCUAGCGUGACUGCAAAGAUCUGCGGGACCUUCACAAAAUCACAACCAAUAAAAAACGUCACCAAAUAAGAAGAUGCAUGUUGUGGUAACAACGAACAGCACCUAAUAGUUCCAGGAUACCGAAACGCUCUACUGUGUUUUCGACAUACAGCUUCGGUGAAGUUAGAAGGGGAAAACAUAUCAGUCAGCCAUAGCUAAAUUCCGUAAAUUCGAAAAUAGAAUAAUGCUUGCUGAAAUCGUUUCGCCGACCUCUACCAGAUGCCAGAGUAACCGCGUUUAGUUAAGAGCAGUAUCUCGAGCUGUUCUGGCCUUGCAUCGUGCGUUUUGUUUUGGUUACCUCUAGUAUGAUGGAAUUAUGUUAUGAUAUUUGAAGUUCUUUUUCUUACAGAAAGAUAAGAAGCAGUGGAAACAGUGAUCAGAAAUAUUUGAGUGCUGGCAAGCUCAUUUUUAAAGGAGAAAAAAUGAGGCAUAGAAGAAGAAACAUUGAUCAAUUUCCUGGAAAGUUGUAAUUUUAGUCUUUAUUCUUCUGUAUGAAUAUCUUCCAUCUCUCACAGUGGUUUUUUAUGCCAUGACAAUAUCACUCCAAAAGCAAUACCAUUUGUGGUGUGAUGGCAUUAGCACUCACUGUACACAUGGAUUUCAGAAGUUCUCCGGACCUUGCGUCAGCCGUAAAAGUUUUGGAGGUAUUGGUCAUUGGAGAUAAUGAGUUUUAAGAUAGUAUCAACAACAGUGCAAAGUAUGAAUCAGCAAGCUUACUGGUACCUUGAUGGCACAUCCUCUUUAAGUGAUAUUCUGUUGGUGAACCUUCUGCUGACUAGCGCACAAGCAAAUGAUCCUUUAUCCUUAUUCACCUCAUUACCUUGAAUAUUCUACCGGCCCUAUUGUUGGGCUAUUGGCACAUUUUUUUUUGAACCUGCCUGUUUACUGGAACUGGCAGGAUUUGCUGAUAUAUUUGAUUUCAUGGUAUUAUUCAUUAUCUAUUCGAAAUCACAUAUCGUUAAGCCAUUUCUGCUUCAGGCGAUGCGUUUCACACGCAUGAAUUGUCCAGUUGCGUUUAACAUCAGUCGAUUUAUGGGACUAUCGAUGAGAACAUUAGCGACAGUGAAUGUAAUUGCAGUCCGACAUUUGCUGCUGAUUCUUCGCGAGUCCCCAGUCAGUUGCCGUGGACUUGUGUCAGUUAUACUGAAGCCAGAUGUGGACAGACCACAAUCUCGUUUUGAAUAUUUUUGCCACGCUGCGUCUGUUACGUUUUUAACGUCCAUCCCUCGUUUCUUCAUCGAUGAACGAACAAUUGAUUUCAACAACGACAGCAAUUUUGAAGGAUCAGCAGCAGCAUGCGACUCGACAGCAAAAAGAGCCAAUUGCGAUCCAGCACUCGCAUCUUCAAACAGCAGACGAUGGUCAACUACACCAACGAACUAGAGAUUCGAUCGUACUGACGUGAUUCUGGCAAUGGCGGCCCCAAACAGGAUGACCCUUCCCCCGUCAGCAACAACUUCGCGCUCAGCAGGCGUUAAUUCGCCACAAGUCCAGCUCCAGCAGCAGCAGCAACAACAACAAUAAGCAAAUGGAAGUAUAGACCGACUCCUGAAAACCACCACCCCCACCAAUUUCCAAUCAGACUCUGGCUGAAGAUGCCGCUUGGACGCUCAACUGAUUGCCCAAUUCCGAACCAAAACGCAAGCCUCCCCGCUGCAUUUGACCCAUGGCAAACAACAACGUAUAGAGGGCUCCAGCAAGGAUACCACUCCGCUUCGUCGUGGAACCACACCUGCAUGAAGCCUCACCUGAGACGAGCUGAAAGGGCCCACAAAACAAGGGCGAAAGAAACGAAAGAAGAAAGUAGAAUGGUUUCUGAUACUGUUUACUAGGACGUUGUGAAAGCAACGCUGGAUGUGGCGGUAGCGAUCUCUGUCUGUGCAGCGACAACCAACAAAUUCAGGUGUAACGAGACCCCGCAGUCUUUCAAGACCAGCUAGAUCAAGCGAGGAAGAUCGUUGUUAGAACAGCAGUGACGUCAGUCGCUAAUCAUCUCGAUCUUAUGGCGACAGUCGCCAUUGAUAUCCCUCCAGCAACAGCAACAACAUCGUCGCCACCAGUUAAGGCUUUAAUUCACCACAUUUCAAUCACCUGCAUCCGAGUUUGAACCAAUUUGAUGACGCCGCUCAAUAUUCGCAUCCGCCGCCCAUCCACACGGCUCAAUUCCGAAAAAAAUUCAGAGACGGCUCUGCCAACUAAAAAUGUUUUCGCGUUAAAUGUCGAUUGCGACGUGCAUUUGUCUAUGUUUCGGUGGGCACUGUUCGGCUUUGAUAAAUAUGGCGGAUCUUGUUUUUCUGUUUGUUUUGUUCUUUUUUGUAGAAAAUUCCUAGUAGUUCGUCUGUGUCUUUUGUGUGUGGCAAAUACACUACUUGUUCUGAACUGAAA
Molecule: long non-coding RNA, 3659 nt
Organism: Daphnia magna
Lineage: Eukaryota; Metazoa; Arthropoda; Branchiopoda; Diplostraca; Daphniidae
Exons: 9
Source: RefSeq, a predicted model, not a curated record